UUCGAUUUCGAUUUCGAAAUUUUCCUUAUCGAUUUAUCGAUUUCGAUUUUGUCCUACCGGUUUAUGGAUAAACCGAUAAGGUAUACUAAAAAGAUAAAUAUACCCUUAUUUUCUCAUACCUUAUUCUUCACUCUUCAGCACCGCUUUUGGUUCUUCUUUCACAGGUACAUGAAAAUCUCACUUACCUGCUCUCUUUUCAGUGAUUUGAUUAUCUUUUUUUUUGGUUUUCUCUCAUGCUAUUUUGUGCUAUAUAAUUUCUACCUCCACGUUUAUUUUUCAGAAAACGUGUCCUGUUGGAUCUUGAACUAGCUUCAGAUUCCAACUAAUAAUGGACAUCCAAAAAAGAUAAUUCAAGUUAGAUGCCUGCAAUUUUCAUCUACUGUGGUUCAAAAAGUUAUAGUAGCUCUGCAAUUCAAGCUCUGUUUUCAUCAGCUGGUUUAUAAUAAUAGUACACAGCUAAAAUUGAAAGAGUCACCACUGGGUUUGGCCACAGAAUCCGCUCACCCAGCCAUAAUUUUUAGGUCAAGAGAGAGGAGUGUUGAUUUCGUCUUGCUUUGCUUCAUUCAACUCGUUUAAGACUAUUCAGGUGCUCCGGAGACUUAGUGGCGAGUUGUUGACUGUU
Long non-coding RNA from Nicotiana attenuata, 622 nucleotides. RefSeq lists it as uncharacterized. The record is from RefSeq and is a predicted model, not a curated record. The transcript has 4 exons. NCBI's taxonomy places the organism in Eukaryota, Viridiplantae, Streptophyta, Magnoliopsida, Solanales, Solanaceae.